This 232-nucleotide long non-coding RNA is filed under the name Capsella grandiflora. Its description in RNAcentral is "long non-coding RNA (CGRA_LNC001467)". Lineage: Eukaryota; Viridiplantae; Streptophyta; Magnoliopsida; Brassicales; Brassicaceae. The record is from RNAcentral.
CCACAGACCUUGUAGUUCACCACAUCCGCAUACCAGGGCAUACUCUCUGAAUUUACUGCUAGACAUUGAAGCUCCUUCAUAGCCAUUCCUGUUUGAUGCAUCUUCUUGCAUAUCUCAACGACCAUAAGAUGUUCUUCAGGCAUAGAGUCAUCGAUAGGGACUGGAUCUUCUAUUCUCAUUCUGGACAGGUGAUCAGCAACGCCGUUCUCUAUCCCCUUCUUAUCAACACUCU